Molecule: long non-coding RNA, 1240 nt
Organism: Amphiprion ocellaris (clown anemonefish)
Lineage: Eukaryota; Metazoa; Chordata; Actinopteri; Pomacentridae
Source: Ensembl
CUUCAUUAUCAGGUGGAUUUUAACGCAGGGAAAGCUUCAUUAACAGGUGGAUUUUAACGCAGGGAAAGCUUCAUUAACAGGUGGAUUUUAACGCAGGGAAAGCUUCAUUAACAGGUGGAUUUUAACGCAGGGAAAGCUUCAUUAACAGGUGGAUUUUAACUCAGGGAAAGCUUCAUUAACAGGUGGAUUUUAACGCAGGGAAAGCUUCAUCAGCAGGUGGAUUUCAUGCCAGAUUGAAGGUGACUCUGCUCUUCAUCUUCUCCCAUCUAGAAGCUGUUUGGUGAACGUGACCAUUACUCAGGAAGCCUCCCCUCGGGAUCGAACCUCUGCAGGAAAAACCUCCAGACCACCAAACCAGGCCUCUGGGACUCAUCUGACCCACUUCAAACGGGUCAACAGGACUCAGCUGGAAUUCAUGUGAUUUAUUCUGUCUGUUCAAACACAGUUCACCUUUAGCCUGUUUACCUGCAGGAGGGAGAGCCAAACAGAACAGAACACCACAGAACACUAAACAGAAAACUUUAAAUACUCAUUUUUUUAAUGUCUGAUUCAUUUGAAGAUCUCUGUUGGUGACUCUGCAUGAUUCUAAAAUUACCGCAAUAAAAUGCUGAUUUUAUCAAAAAACUUCACCACAACUAGCUGGAUUGGAGAAUAUUCCAGAUCACACAACUUAGUUUUGAGUCAGCAGAAGCUAAAAAUCAUUUAAAUGGGAGGAAUAGUCAUGUUUCCGUGAUCUCUGGGGUCACGUAUGUUAUAAACGCAGAACACUCCGUCACUGGUGCUAAUGUGGCAGCUUGGCUUUCUAAGGCUGAAGGUAAUCCUUUAUUUAGACGCUUCCAGCUGACACCGCUCACUCUCUCCUACAGAGAACUUCCUGUUUCUGUCUUUGUAUGUUUCUGUCUCAUAGAUAGACACAUAAACACACCAUUGGUCAAACAUCUAAACAGUUAAUCCACCUUGAACCCAGCGUCUGAUCUCCGUUAAGGCUAAAGUCUUAACACUGAGUCUGGAGAGUCACAGACUCAGGCUGUCUGCAGUGAACAAAGCCUUCAAAUCAACACCGUCAGACGGUUAUCAGCUGUUCUCAGUGUGAUGAGGAAUCAGAUAGAUGGUAGUCCGACCAGCUGAAGGCUGUUUGGCUGAUUAACAGUCUAAUUGCACCAUUUUUCUGUGUUGAAACCACGAAAAUUUGAGUUUAUGUUGAUUCCUUUCUUGCUAAACCAAAGAUUCCAGGUAUUUG